AUUGAACGCUGGCGGCAGGCCUAACACAUGCAAGUCGAGCGGAUGAAGGGAGCUUGCUCCUGGAUUCAGCGGCGGACGGGUGAGUAAUGCCUAGGAAUCUGCCUGGUAGUGGGGGAUAACGUCCGGAAACGGGCGCUAAUACCGCAUACGUCCUGAGGGAGAAAGUGGGGGAUCUUCGGACCUCACGCUAUCAGAUGAGCCUAGGUCGGAUUAGCUAGCUGGUGGGGUAAAGGCCUACCAAGGCGACGAUCCGUAACUGGUCUGAGAGGAUGAUCAGUCACACUGGAACUGAGACACGGUCCAGACUCCUACGGGAGGCAGCAGUGGGGAAUAUUGGACAAUGGGCGAAAGCCUGAUCCAGCCAUGCCGCGUGUGUGAAGAAGGUCUUCGGAUUGUAAAGCACUUUAAGUUGGGAGGAAGGGCAGUAAGUUAAUACCCUGCUGUUUUGACGUUACCAACAGAAUAAGCACCGGCUAACUUCGUG
Molecule: ribosomal RNA, 484 nt
Filed under: uncultured bacterium
Lineage: Bacteria
Description: partial 16S ribosomal RNA
Rfam family: Bacterial small subunit ribosomal RNA
Source: RNAcentral